AAGUGCUCGGAUUACAUGCAUGAGCCACCUUGCCUGGCCCAAAUCUUUUAUAUUCUUAAUUUAUUGAUUUUUUACUGCUUAUUUUAUCAAUCACAGAAAUGUGUGUUGAACUAGCUCAUGAAAUAGUUGACUUGUCUAAUUUUCCUUGUAAUUCUGUCAAUUUUAGUUCAUUUUUGAAGCUAUAUUAUUAUAUUUGUAGAAGUUUAUAAUUGUUAUGCCUUAUUGGAAAAUUGAAUAUCUUAUCAUUAUAUAGUAAUCUUUUAAUCUCUAGUUCUGUUUUGUCCUAAAAUAUAUUUUUUCUGAUAUUACUGUUGCUAUACACACUUUUUGGAAACUUAGUAUUUACCUGGUACAUCAUUUUCCAGCCUUUUCUUUUCUUUUCUUUCUUUCUUUUUUUUUUUUUUUUUUUUGAGAUAGUCUCGCUCUGCUGCCCAGGCUGGAGUGCAGUGGCAUGAUCUUGGCUCACUGCAACCUCUGCCCCUCCUGGGUUCAAGCGAUUCUCCUGCCUCAGCCUCCCGAGUAGCUGGGACUAUAGGAAUGCGCCACUGCGCCCAACUAAUUUUUGUAUUUUUAGUAGAGACGGAGUUUCACCAUGUUGGCCAGGCUGGUCUUGAACUCCUAACCUCAAGUGAUCCACCCACCUUGGCCUCCCAAAGUGCUGGGAUUAUAGGUGUGAGCCAAUGCACCCAGCCAGGAGAGAUAGGAGGAAUAAGCUCCAGUGUUCUAUAGACUGUAGGAUGACUAGAGUUAACAAUAAUACAUAGUUUCAAACAGGUAGGACGAUAUUGCAUGUUCUCCACACGGAGAAAUGAGCAAUGUUUGAGAUGAUGGUAUGUUAAUUAUUAUCCUGCUCUGAUCACCAUGUAUUCUAUGUAUCAAAACAUCAGUAUGUAUCUCAUGAAUAUGCACAAUUAUUAUUUGUCUAUUUAGAAAAAUCAGGAAAAAAGAAAAAAAAAGUCGAACAAUGAUCCACGCCCACUCUCUAUUGCACAAGGGAAGGCUGAGAUUCAGAAAGGGGAAG
RNAcentral lists this long non-coding RNA (1021 nucleotides) under Homo sapiens (human). RNAcentral's name for it is "HSALNT0317606". Lineage: Eukaryota; Metazoa; Chordata; Mammalia; Primates; Hominidae. The record is from RNAcentral.